UGAGCCAAGUUUAGGGUUUUCUCAAAACCCAAGCAGUAUUGAACUGAAGAGUUUGAUCAUGGCUCAGAUUGAACGCUGGCGGCAGGCCUAACACAUGCAAGUCGAGCGGAUGAAGGGGGCUUGCUCCUGGAUUCAGCGGCGGACGGGUGAGUAAUGCC
RNAcentral lists this ribosomal RNA (158 nucleotides) under Pseudomonas aeruginosa. RNAcentral describes it as "partial 16S ribosomal RNA". The stretch from base 41 to 158 matches the Rfam family "Bacterial small subunit ribosomal RNA", at positions 1 to 117 of the family's 1533-position model. Lineage: Bacteria; Pseudomonadati; Pseudomonadota; Gammaproteobacteria; Pseudomonadales; Pseudomonadaceae. The record is from RNAcentral.